RNAcentral lists this ribosomal RNA (915 nucleotides) under uncultured marine archaeon. Its description in RNAcentral is "bacterial SSU rRNA". It matches the Rfam family "Archaeal small subunit ribosomal RNA", at positions 1 to 922 of the family's 1478-position model. The record is from RNAcentral.
UUCCGGUUGAUCCUGCCGGAGGCUACCGCUAUUGGAGUUCGAUUAAGCCAUGCGAGUCGCGAGUCUUAGGGACUCGGCGUACCGCUCAGUAACACGUGGGUAACCUGCCCUAUGCUGGGGGAUAACCUCGGGAAACUGAGAAUAAUACCCCAUAGUUCACCACGCCUGGAACGGUGGGUGGAUCAAAGCUCCGGCGGCAUAGGAUGGGCCUGCGGCGUAUCAGGUUGUAGGGGGUGUAAUGUACCCUCUAGCCCUCUACGCGUACGGGUGUUGAGAGACAUCGCCCGGAGAUGGAUUCUGAGACACGAAUCCAGACCCUACGGGGUGCAGCAGGCGCGAAAACUUGGCAAUGCGAGAAAUCGUGACCAGGGAACUCCAAGUGCAUCGGGUAAGACCGAUGCUUUUCUUGACUCUUCAAAGGUCUUGGAAUAAGGGGUGGGUAAGGACGGUGCCAGCCGCCGCGGUAAUACCGGCGCCCCAAGUGGUAGUCGCUUUUAUUGGGCCUAAAACGUCCGUAGCCGGUCUGGUACAUUCGUGGGUAAAUCAACCAGCUCAACUGGUUGAAUUCUGCGAGCACGGCCAGACUUGGGACCGGGAGAGGUGUGGGGUACUCUCAGGGUAGGGGUAAAAUCCUGUCAUCCUGAGGGGACCACCUGUUGCGAAGGCGCCACACUAGAACGGAUCCGACGGUCAGGGACGAAGCCUAGGGGCACGAACCGGAUUAGAUACCCGGGUAGUCCUAGGUGUAAACGCUGUGGACUUGAUGUUGGGGGCGCUCCGAGCGCACUCAGUGUCGAAGCGAAGGUGAUAAGUCCACUGCCUGGGGAGUACGGUCGCAAGGCUGAAACUUAAAGGAAUUGGCGGGGGAGCACCGCAACCUGAGGAUUGUGCGGUUUAAUUGGAUUCAACGCCGGA